UCAGCAAAAAUGCUGCUUAUUUCAAAGCUUAUGACCAAUUAUAUCACACUCAUUUGAGAUUACAGCAUUACAAUUAAAAAAAAGUCCUAAGCUUACAAAGAAAAAGAAAACCUUAAAAUCGACGCAGCCAAACAUCAAGAUGCUUGGUACCACAAUAAACAAACAACAAUGACAACACCACCAAGAUAGAAGAUAAAUCAAGAACUAGAAAACCCGAAUACAACCUUAAUUAGACCCACCAAGAACACCCUUGAGUUUCUUAAUCUGUGCUACAUCAAGGAAAGUAGUCGCCGCCACCAACUCGGUUGGCAAUUCAUUAGCAAACAGAGCAAAAUCAGUAAUCUGAAGUCCAGGCACCGCACUACCGAAGCUAACAAACGCCUGAGCACUACUCUUACCGGAAUUUAGCUGAAAGUGAAGCAGACCUUGUGGGAACACCAUAAUAUCUCCUUUGUUCAGCGUCUUAAAGUAAACAGUAUUAGCAGAAGAAAUAAACCCAGCACAAAUGGUCCCUUCGAUGACAACCAAAAGCUCCGAGGCUCCAGGGUGAGUGUGCAUCGGGAUAACCCCACCCACGGCUAGGUCCAACCUCGCAAUGGAUAUUCCGAGCCCAUUGACACCCGGAAACUGAGCAGUGAAUGCCGGAGUGACAGCAGCUUUGAUGAGGUUGGUGGUGUUUCCGGCUUUACCAAUCCCGGAGUAAACAAAAUCAGCUUCUGUUACUUUCUUGGGGUCUUUGCAUGGGAAGCCGGAAGGGGUAUCCGAUUGUUUCAAAUCGGCUACACAGAAGUCCUGAACUGAUGCAAACGAUGACACAAAGAGAAGAGAAAACAUAAGAAGACUAGGGAUCAACAUUUUGAUAGAAUGUUUGAUUUGGAGUAUGUAUGUUUUUGUGGGUGUUUGUAAUUGAGGUAGAAGAUGAGAGUUAUAUAGAAGGAGAUAGGAUAAUGGGCAAUUCGGGUAUGGCCAUGCAUGCAAGGGCCUCACGUGAAUGGGGUACCAACAAUUAAGAAAGAAAAGCCACAAUUUUUUUGUUUAUUGUGCAUGUGACUGUAAAGUCGUCAUACGAGAAUACAAUUCCUUUAAUGCAGUACAUACCCUGCCCAAAAUAUCAAACAAUCUAUAGGAUAUUUAUCAUUUUAUCGUCCACCCAUUGUCACACCCUUGAGGAUUACAUAGAUAGAAGAUUCAACCACAGUCAUCUUAUAAACUAUCUUGACAAUGUCUUAACUAGUUAACCAAAGUCUAUUUGAGCUUAAGGCUAUAUAUCUUUGGGAGACUUCAGGAAACUGUUAACUAAAAAACUAAUUUUUAGAUGAUAAAAAAUUAUAUUUAUUAAAAAUUUAUCCAAUAAGCUAGCGGAGAAAUAAAUUGACACAAAAGGAAUGUAGAAAAUGAUUCCAUAUUAUAAAACUAGUAUGUAAUACAUUACAUUAAAUAAAUUACUUACUAAAUACUAAUAGUCUCUGAUUAUUUACGUUGAAGUGAAAUUUCUUGCAUUUCAUGUUAUAUUCGUAAUAUUAUCAUGAAUUUAUCGCAUCUCACUGACUGAUUCUUCAUUUGUGUGCGUCUAUGUGGAUUCUAUUCUGUUAAAAAGCAUAGCAAUAUUAGUUUAUCAAGAAACUUUGUUGAAAAAAAAAACAAAACAAAAACAAAAGAAUAAUAAUAAUAAAACUAUUAUCACGGUUGUCAAAUACACAUUACAAAACCAGCCAACAUGCUAUCAACCAAACCAAAAAAGUUGGUUGUCAAUAUAUUUGAUAAUAAUCAAUAUGUUUGGUUGGUACUACUGUACCAAUUCUGUAAAUUUAGACAUUUGGUACGUUAAUAGUAUUAAAUUUUAAGUACAACAGUAUUACUGUACCAACGAUAAUAUAUANNNNNNNNNNNNNNNNNNNNNNNNNNNNNNNNNNNNNNNNNNNNNNNNNNNNNNNNNNNNNNNNNNNNNNNNNNNNNNNNGUUAACAUUAACUAAAAAGUUAUUUCAAAGUUAGUUAAUAAAAUUUAUUAGUAACUAAAAUAGUUAUUUUACUAAUUUAUAUUGAUAAAGAAAAUUAUUUCAUGUCAUUGAUGGUCUUAACUAUUACAAUUACAAAUUAGAAAAAAAAAAUGGUAAUGUAUCAUUACCAAUUUACAUCAACAAAACGUGUUGGUAGCCAAACAAGUUAGUAUAUUGGCAUGAUACUUAUAGCAACAUUUUUAUACCAACUGAAAUGUAUAAAAGGUAUGAUACAUGUUUUAAAUAAAAAUAAAUUGGUUGAUCCCUUAAUUACUAUAAAAGUUUAUUCACAUUGUUUGUAAAUUUACAAGUAAUGACAUACGGAGCCUUUUCACAAUUUUAAUUUUAUUAAAUUUGUUAUCAUAGUGUUUUUUAUAAGCACGAUAGACAUCUUGAGCUAUUUCAUUUAAUUUUACCAACACCAUAUAAUACAAAUUGCAGAUAGUCAUCAACUAAAUGUCGUGGGAAUUAAUUAGUCCGAGACACAUGAGAAUAGCCAAUGUUUUAAAUACCGGUUUUCUAAUUGAACCGGUCGGGUGACGUUUUCCGGUUCAACCGGUUUAACCGGUCCAACCGGAUGGUCAAACCGGCUCUAUAUUUUUAUAUGUUUUUUAAUUAUCCUACAUACAUUGAUUACAAAACUUGUUAUUUUUUUAGUAUUACAAACGUAAAUAGAAUGCAACAUAUAAAAACAAUCAUUAUAAAUGUCAAAAUCAAACAAAGAAGUCAAAACAAACACAAAAAUCCAAAAAUGUCUGGUUCAACCCGGUCCAUUCCGGUUCAAUUCAGCCGGUUGAACCGGUUUUUUUACCAAAAUCGGCCGGUUCAAUCCGGUCAGAAAAUCAUUAUAAAACCGGUCAAAAUCGAACCGCCCUCACCUCCGGUUCCCAGUUCGACCGGUUCAACCGGCCGGUUUGAACCGGUUUUUAAAACACUAAGAAUAGCAGAUGAUUAUGAAGAAGAUGAUAGACAACGACGGCGAUAUAUUUAGUUUCUCAUGUUUCCAACAUAAUUUUUUUUUAAACGACAAAAUAUAGUAAAGCAAAAAAGGCCACCGCCUAAGAGAAACUAGACGGGGCAAACAAACAAAAACAAAAGUUAAAAAAUAUUGAAAGGACAACAACACCAAUUACCCCAAUUGCAAUUCUUAUAAUUGUCCCUAUAUGUGACCUAAUUAUACACCAUAAUGAUGAUAUUAUCGUUGUUUUAGAAGAAGAAAGAGGAAUUUUUUUUUGAAGAGCUUAUCAUUCUUAACUUUCUAAACGUCCCAGAGAAAACCAUUAAAGAUGGCAAUUAAGAUCAUCCGUUUUCCGGGACAGAAUUUUGAAAAGUUAUCAGCAAUUUUGAAAGUUAACGAUAAUAAGUAUAUUAAUUAAAAGAGAAAUCAAAUCUACUUUUUUUUUGUUAUCUAUCUUCUUAUUUAUUAGAUCGGGGCUAAUAUUAAAAUUAAAAUUUAAAAUUAAUGAAUUUUAUAUGUCAUUAUUUUAUCUAAAAAGAAAAAUCUUUAAAACAAAAAGCAAGAUAUUUAAUUUUUCUAGUUAAAAAGAUGGAAUAUUCUUUUGGUAAAUUCCAUGUGAAGAUAAGCUAAGAGAUAUUUUAAAGAAAAUAUCAAAGCAGCAUAUGGACCAAGCAUGGCAAAAGACAUUUUUUGACAACCAGAAAGAUCUACAAGCAAAAGCAACUUUUGUCAUUUUGGAAGACGUACAUUCAAAAGAAAUUGUGUGGAUCUCGUACGUUGCCUAUCCUUUUGGGCAUAUCCGUUAGUGUAAAACUGCAAAAAACCUGUAUAUUCUGUUAUUUAUAAGAGGGAUGUGCAUCAAGCCAAGUUGCCAUUUUUAUAUCGUUUAUCAAUUUAGAGUAAACUGUUCCAAGACUAUUACAUUAAACUAGUUGAGGUGUAUAAUUUCAUAAAUGUUCAAAUCUUAUAUAUGCCUAAUAUAUAGUUAGUGUUAGUCUUAUACUCCUCCGUCUCAAAAUUAUUGUCCGGAGAAAAAAAAAAUAUACCGAUUAAGAAAACAUUAAUUACUAUUAACUUUAUUAAAUGAAAUGAUAGUCUUAUCCUUUUGUUAUAUUUAAUUUCAUUGUAAUUGCAUUUAAUUUCAUGGUAAUUUAACUAAUAAUGAUAGUAUUUUGGUAAAAAAAUAUAUAUUUAUUUUUAAAAUAGACUAUUAUUUUGUGACAAACUAAUAAGAAAACAAGAACUAAAAAUAUUUAAAAAAAAAUAAUUAGAAUAUCUAAAUAGUAAAUAUUAUGUGAUUUUUUUAGCCAACUUAUUUUCAAAUUAAACAAUAAAGUUCAUAUAUGGGCCGUUUUCCCUAGGCUAUCACUGAUGGCUCAUUAAAAAGGACACAUGAUCCAAAGAAAUAAGCCCACGUUAAUUCUUUUGGACAUAACACAUAGUUUCAGUACUCUUGUAAAUCAAAUUUGAAAGCCCAAGAAAGCUAUAAGGUUAUAUUCACAUUACCACAGCAAAUCUUGCAAGGGGUUUGCUUUGUCAAGAAUUGAGCACACCCUAAAUAAUAGAGUAAAUUACACGAAUGGUCCCUAUGGUUUGGGGUAAUUUGUAUGUUUGGUCCCUAACUUAUUUUUUUAACUCGGAAGGUCCCUAUGGUUUGUUUUUGUUACGCCUUUGAUCCCUACUGUUUAUUUUUGUUACGCGUUUGGUCCUUGUCUUAUCUAAAAAGACUAUUAUUUAAAGAGGAAAAAAUGGUG
This 4710-nucleotide long non-coding RNA is filed under the name Lactuca sativa (garden lettuce). RNAcentral's name for it is "long non-coding RNA (LSAT_LNC005887)". Lineage: Eukaryota; Viridiplantae; Streptophyta; Magnoliopsida; Asterales; Asteraceae. The record is from RNAcentral.